Molecule: unclassified non-coding RNA, 346 nt
Filed under: soil metagenome
Description: partial contains 5.8S ribosomal RNA, internal transcribed spacer 2, and large subunit ribosomal RNA
Rfam family: 5.8S ribosomal RNA (bases 1-121)
Source: RNAcentral
GAUGAAGAACGGCAGCGAAAUGCGAUACGUAAUGUGAAUUGCAGAAUUCAGCGAAUCAUCGAGUCUUUGAACGCACAUUGCGCCCCCUGGUAUUCCGGGGGGCAUGCCUGUCCGAGCGUCAUUGCUGCCCUCAAGCACGGCUUGUGUGUUGGGCCUCCGUCCUCCUCCCGGGGGACGGGCCCGAAAGGCAGCGGCGGCACCGCGUCCGGUCCUCGAGCGUAUGGGGCUUCGUCACCCGCUCUUGUAGGCCCGGCCGGCGCUUGCCGACACAUCAAUCUUUUUUCCAGGUUGACCUCGGAUCAGGUAGGGAUACCCGCUGAACUUAAGCAUAUCAAUAAGCGGAGGA